UUGACCAAUUCGACCUCAAAUCAGGUAG
RNAcentral lists this ribosomal RNA (28 nucleotides) under Sarcodon squamosus. Its description in RNAcentral is "partial 28S ribosomal RNA". The record is from RNAcentral. Lineage: Eukaryota; Fungi; Basidiomycota; Agaricomycetes; Thelephorales; Thelephoraceae.